RNAcentral lists this ribosomal RNA (253 nucleotides) under uncultured bacterium. RNAcentral describes it as "partial 16S ribosomal RNA". It matches the Rfam family "Bacterial small subunit ribosomal RNA", at positions 524 to 776 of the family's 1533-position model. The record is from RNAcentral.
UACAGGGGGUGCAGACGUUGCUCGGAAUUAUUGGGCGUAAAGCGCGCGUAGGCGGCUACUUAAGUCGGAUGUGAAAGCCCUUGGCUCAACUGAGGAAGUGCACCCGAAACUGAGUGGCUAGAGUACGAAAGAGGGUCGCGGAAUUCCCGGUGUAGAGGUGAAAUUCGUAGAUAUCGGGAGGAACACCGGUGGCGAAGGCGGCGACCUGGGUCGAGACUGACGCUGAGGCGCGAAAGCGUGGGGAGCAAACAGG